UACGGGGGGGGCAAGCGUUGUUCGGAAUUACUGGGCGUAAAGGGCUCGUAGGUGGCCAACUAAGUCAGACGUGAAAUCCCUCAGCUUAACUGGGGAACUGCGUCUGAUACUGGAUGGCUUGAGAUUGGGAGAGGGAAGUGGAAUUUCCGGUGUAGCGGUGAAAUGCGUAGAUAUCGGAAGGAACAUCAGUGGCGAAAGCGGCUUCCUGAACCAAUACUGACACUUAGGCGCGAAAGCGUGGGGAGCAAACAGG
Molecule: ribosomal RNA, 253 nt
Filed under: uncultured bacterium
Lineage: Bacteria
Description: partial 16S ribosomal RNA
Rfam family: Bacterial small subunit ribosomal RNA
Source: RNAcentral